ACAGAGGGUGCGAGCGUUGUCCGGAAUCACUGGGCGUAAAGGGCGCGUAGGUGGCGACCCAAGUCAAUGGUGAAAGCUCGAUGCUCAACAUCGAGUCGGCCACUGAUACUGGGUUGCUCGAGCACUGUAGAGGCAGAUGGAAUUCCGGGUGUAGCGGUGGAAUGCGUAGAGAUCCGGAAGAACACCGAUGGCGAAGGCAGAUCUCUGGGCCGUAACUGACGCUGAGGAGCGAAAGCAUGGGGAGCGAACAGGA
RNAcentral lists this ribosomal RNA (253 nucleotides) under uncultured prokaryote. RNAcentral's name for it is "partial 16S ribosomal RNA". It matches the Rfam family "Bacterial small subunit ribosomal RNA", at positions 525 to 777 of the family's 1533-position model. The record is from RNAcentral.